This 231-nucleotide ribosomal RNA is filed under the name uncultured bacterium. Its description in RNAcentral is "partial 16S ribosomal RNA". It matches the Rfam family "Bacterial small subunit ribosomal RNA", at positions 284 to 525 of the family's 1533-position model. The record is from RNAcentral.
UCGCCCGCCGCGCGCGGCGGGCGGGGCGGGGGCACGGGGGGCCUACGGGAGGCAGCAGUGAGGAAUAUUGGUCAAUGGUCGCAAGACUGAACCAGCCAUGCCGCGUGCAGGAAGACGGUCCUAUGGAUUGUAAACUGCUUUUAUACAGGAAGAAACCCUCCCACGUGUGGGAGCUUGACGGUACUGUAGGAAUAAGGAUCGGCUAACUCCGUGCCAGCAGCCGCGGUAAUA